This 496-nucleotide ribosomal RNA is filed under the name uncultured bacterium. RNAcentral's name for it is "partial 16S ribosomal RNA". It matches the Rfam family "Bacterial small subunit ribosomal RNA", at positions 29 to 507 of the family's 1533-position model. The record is from RNAcentral.
AUGAACGCUGGCGGCGUGCCUCAUACAUGCAAGUCGCGCGAACGGACGAGAAGCUUGCUUUUCUGAUGUUAGCGGCGGACGGGUGAGUAACACGUGGAUAACCUACCCAUAAGACUGGGAUAACUUCGGGAAACCGGAGCUAAUACCGGAUAAUAUUUUGAACCGCAUGGUUCAAAAGUGAAAGACGGUCUUGCUGUCACUUAUAGAUGGAUCCGCGCUGCAUUAGCUAGUUGGUAAGGUAACGGCUUACCAAGGCAACGAUGCAUAGCCGACCUGAGAGGGUGAUCGGCCACACUGGAACUGAGACACGGUCCAGACUCCUACGGGAGGCAGCAGUAGGGAAUCUUCCGCAAUGGGCGAAAGCCUGACGGAGCAACGCCGCGUGAGUGAUGAAGGUCUUCGGAUCGUAAAACUCUGUUAUUAGGGAAGAACAUAUGUGUAAGUAACUGUGCACAUCUUGACGGUACCUAAUCAGAAAGCCACGGCUAACUACGUG